CAACAAGGAGUCUUCAGCCGUUUAAAGCCUGAAGUAAAGCAGCACUGGAGGAACAUCCCCACCCUGGAGACAGCCUCCUGGGCCUGAAUGGGUUUGGACACCCAGGGACAUUUGCAGAGUCGGCCAGGCUGAGUCGUCUGUUUUCUGAGAAACCAACAUCAGAAUUUAAAAGCCGACUGUACUGGAGACGGCUGAGAGGAAAGCUGAUCUGAAGUCACCUGCUGCAUCCGGCACAGGCUCUGACAAGAAGCAGCUACACCAGGGAAGCUGAGCAGAGGUU
This is a long non-coding RNA of Fundulus heteroclitus (mummichog), 280 nucleotides long. RefSeq lists it as uncharacterized. The transcript is spliced from 3 exons. NCBI's taxonomy places the organism in Eukaryota, Metazoa, Chordata, Actinopteri, Cyprinodontiformes, Fundulidae. The record is from RefSeq and is a predicted model, not a curated record.